RNAcentral lists this ribosomal RNA (560 nucleotides) under uncultured bacterium. RNAcentral's name for it is "bacterial SSU rRNA". It matches the Rfam family "Bacterial small subunit ribosomal RNA", at positions 338 to 916 of the family's 1533-position model. The record is from RNAcentral.
CAUACGGGAGGCAGCAGUUAGGAAUAUUGGACAAUGGGGGCAACCCUGAUCCAGCCAUGCCGCGUGUGUGAAGAAGGCCUUAGGGUUGUAAAGCACUUUCAGCUGUGAAGAUAAUGACAGUAGCAGAAGAAGAAGCUCCGGCUAAAUUCGUGCCAGCAGCCGCGGUAAUACGAAUGGAGCGAGCGUUGUUCGGAAUCACUGGGCGUAAAGGGUGCGCAGGCGGUCAUGAAAGUUAGAAGUGAAAUCCCAGGGCUUAACCCUGGAAUGGCUUUUAAAACUCCAUGACUAGAGUACUGGAGAGGUUGGCGGAAUUCCGAGUGUAGAGGUGAAAUUCGCAGAUAUUCGGAGGAACACCAAUGGCGUAGGCAGCCAACUGGACAGUAACUGACGCUCAUGCACGAAAGCGUGGGGAUCAAACAGGAUUAGAUACCCUGGUAGUCCACGCCCUAAACGAUGUGUGCUAGUUGUCGGGUUCUUAGAACUCGGUGACGCAGCUAACGCUUUAAGCACACCGCCUGGGGAGUACGGUCGCAAGAUUAAAACCUCAAAGGAAUUGACGG